RNAcentral lists this ribosomal RNA (253 nucleotides) under uncultured bacterium. RNAcentral describes it as "partial 16S ribosomal RNA". It matches the Rfam family "Bacterial small subunit ribosomal RNA", at positions 524 to 776 of the family's 1533-position model. The record is from RNAcentral.
UACGGAGGGUGCAAGCGUUAUCCGGAUUUACUGGGUUUAAAGGGUGUGUAGGCGGGCUUUUAAGUCUGGGGUGAAAUCUCCGGGCUCAACUCGGAAACUGCCUUGGAUACUAUUAGUCUUGAAUUAUGUUGAGGUUGGCGGAAUAUAACAUGUAGCGGUGAAAUGCAUAGAUAUGUUAUAGAACACCGAUUGCGAAGGCAGCUAACUAAGCAUAUAUUGACGCUGAGGCACGAAAGCGUGGGGAUCAAACAGG